CCCCAACAGCCAUUUUGUUAGCUAACUCCGGAGGUAGCCGGUGGCGCGUGUAGUUGCUAAUUGCGUGCAUUGUGCGUAGCAAAGGUUGAACUUCAGUUCCAUCGUCGUUUUCCGAAAUUUUAUUUAUACCCCAAUCACAUUGAUUUGACCGCAAGAUCGUAGGUAAGAAGACUGCGUUUGUAUUUGUUGACUGCGAUUCCACAGCAAGAGUGGACGCUCAUUCAUUUUUCAAGCCCUGUCGAGUUUGCUAGCUUCGGUAGCUACAAAGGAGAUAAGUGACGCCUUUCUUGGCCCUCGCAGCUGAAGAAAAUCAAACGUUCGAGCAUUCAUAGUUGUACGAGUGUCGUCGUUCGGCAGUUUUUGCGUUUUAAUUUGCUUCAGGGGGGAGCAAAUUCGAAGAGUGAUCUCAAGCGCAUUCUUUUGCGUGUGUAGCUUCCUCGUAGCGAGGUAGCAUCAAGAGGCUUCAAGCUGGCUACCGGCCUUUCAGAGAACAUGUCCGAGUUGUACAUUCGGGUGGCCGAGGAUGAGAACGAGGAGCCGAUGGAGAUCCCGUCGGAAGACGACGGCACGGUUCUGCUGUCGUCGGUUGCGGCCCAGUUUCCAGGGGCGUGCGGGCUCCGCUACAGAAACCCCGAAUCUCAAUGCAUGCGCGGAGUUCGGCUUGUGGAGGGCGUCCUGCAUGCUCCCGAGAGUGACUGGGGAAACCUGGUCUACGUUGUCAACUACCCCAAAGAUAACAAAAGAAAGAUGGAGGAAAUAGAUGCUGCCUCGGCCGUCAAAGUCAAAAGGGGUUAUCAGAAGACAUCAGAUCUUAUUGUUCUCGGCCUGCCGUGGAAAACCACAGAACAAGACCUGAAAGAAUAUUUUACCACAUUUGGAGAGGUCAUCAUGGUACAGAUCAAGAGGGAUGCCAACACUGGCAACUCCAAAGGAUUUGGCUUUGUGCGUUUCACUGAAUAUGAAACCCAGGUGAAAGUGAUUUCUCAGAGACACAUGAUAGACGGACGAUGGUGCGACUGCAAGCUCCCUAAUUCAAAGGUGCUGGCCGGCCAGGCGUUCCCUGAUGAACCCAUGAGGAGUCGUAAAAUCUUCGUGGGCCGCUGCACUGAGGACAUGACCCCCGAUGAGCUGCGGCAGUACUUCAUGCAAUACGGAGAAGUCACAGACGUCUUCAUCCCCAAGCCGUUCCGGGCGUUCGCCUUCGUCACGUUCGCCGACGACCAGGUGGCCCAGGCCCUGUGCGGAGAAGACCUGAUCAUCAAGGGUGUCAGCGUGCACAUCUCCAACGCCGAGCCCAAACACAACAAUAGUAGGCAAAUGAUGGAGCGAGGGCGCUUUGGGGCCGGCGGCUUCAGUCAGGCGUACGGCGCGAGUCGCGGCGGGCUGGGCGCGGGCGGCGGGGGGAAGGGCGGGGUCAACUUCAGCGCCCUGGGCCUCAACCCAGCCAUGGUGGCGGCCGCCCAGGCGGCGCUGCAGAGCAGCUGGGGCAUGAUGGGCAUGCUGGCCAACCAGCAGGGCAUGAGCACGGCGGCGGGGGGCGCGGCCGCCACCACCCGGGAUCAGACGUACGGCUCCACCAGCACCAGUUACAGCAGCCCCUCCACAGCCAGCCUGGGCUGGCCCGCCGGCACUAACUCGGCCUCGGGCAGCGGCUUUGGCUCUGGCUUUGGCGCCUCCAUGGAGACAAAGUCUUCCAAUUGGGGCAUGUAAAUAAGUAGGCGGCGGUUGCGUUGUCGGCCUAGGCCAGGGCUCGGGUCGCGCCGUCAAAAUUAGGAAAAGCGUUUCGUUGGAGGUUUUUGUCAGUUUAGCGUGGCCCUCAGAGACUGUACUGAAAUUUCAAAAGUUGCCCAGCCCUGGUCUAGGCUCAUCUGGUAAGUACUCUUUAAAAAAAAAAAAAAAUCAUUAUAAGAAGGAAAAAAAACUGCCUUUUUUUGUUAACCAGUCGAAAUAUGUGUGACACUAGUCAGGAAUGGUUUUAGUUAGCUGCUUUUCCAAAAGUAACGUGCAUGCGCCGUUGUUUGUAAGCGUGCGCGAGUACCUCUCAAGUGGGCUUGAUAUCCUCGUCUCGUGUAUGAUUUGCAUUUGUAUUUCAUUUCCUUUUUGAAACGUUUUUUUCCCCUUCUGAACUGAUCUGAUGGAAACGCCUUGCCGACCGUCUCUCCUGCAGUUAACCAACUGUUUCGCACGCUCCCGGGAGGAAGCGCCUCACUGGCGGCAAUGUUCUACAGAUCUCAGUAUCACGUGUAAACGCUUUGCCAUCAACACCACACAAGCUUCACUCUGCAUUUACUGUGCUCCACGGGGCCCUCGGACACGGAACAUCGGAACCAGGAGUCACUCACGGGGGGGACUUGAAGACCGCGGAAGAACCCACAAUGGAAUUUCUACACGAAUGCCUUAAAUCCGGAGAAGGAUCUUCAUCUUCAUCCCGCCCGCGAGGAACCUCGGACCCUCUAAUGUUUAGUUGGCCCCACGUCACACUGACAUCUUCCAAAACCUGUCCCAUUUAUUCUAGCAACAGGAAGGUGUGUUUUUCUUUUUGUUUCAUUGUACAGUCCAAUUUGGUGCACACAAAUUGUGCGCGUGAAAAGAAUCACCUGGACAACGGACACCAUCUAGUCUUGUGGCAAAAUAAAUGCUUUUGAGUUGUUCACCUGUCGUCUGUCAUUGGAGGUGAAAAUCAAAUUUAUUUUUACAACACUUUAAGCUCCCUUUAUUCUGAGCCUGUUCUUUGUGUCCACUUCCAUUGCGUCAUUCUUUAUUUUGAUACCGUUGCUGGUGACUCGGGUGUCUUUAGUGACCAUUUUGUGCGCUUGAUGCUGGCUGCUUUGUAAACGUCCAUGUCAGUUUCCUUUGAAAUGCAUUGCUUGAUGUUUGUUUUGCGAAAACUAAAGUUUCAAGAUGGAAAUGUUCCAGGAGAUUAAAUUUCAAACCUAA
Hippocampus zosterae (dwarf seahorse) is the source of this 2937-nucleotide RNA transcript. It is a transcript of the gene named TAR DNA binding protein a, with no coding region annotated. The record is from RefSeq and is a predicted model, not a curated record. The transcript has 6 exons. Lineage: Eukaryota; Metazoa; Chordata; Actinopteri; Syngnathiformes; Syngnathidae.